This 2548-nucleotide unclassified non-coding RNA is filed under the name uncultured fungus. Its description in RNAcentral is "sequence contains 18S rRNA gene, ITS1, 5.8S rRNA gene, ITS2, 28S rRNA gene". The stretch from base 1571 to 2548 matches the Rfam family "Eukaryotic large subunit ribosomal RNA", at positions 1 to 961 of the family's 3401-position model. Lineage: Eukaryota; Fungi. The record is from RNAcentral.
UGCUCGACGAAGCGUUCCGCGAGAAGAUCCACGCGCGUCAGGCCGGCUGGCGCACCGCCGUACAGGCCGCCAUCCAGCUCGGUGUUCCGGUCCCGGCGAUGAGCGCGUCGCUCGCCUACUUCGAUUCGUACCGGACCGAGCGGUUGCCAGCCAAUCUCACGCAGGCGCAGCGCGAUUUCUUCGGCGCCCACACCUACCGGCGCGUCGACCGCGACGGCGCGUUUCACACCGACUGGACCCCAGAGGCAUGAGCAUCGGAUUCGACAUUCCCAGGGCUGGCGCGCUCGACUUUCUCUCGCUCGGCGCGAUCGUGCAUCGGCUCGACCCCGGCCUCGUGCCCUUUCGCAAGGCCACGCGGUGCACGAUUCACGUGAGCGGCGGCGAGUUCAACACGGCCGCCAACCUGUCGGAUUGCUUCCGCCUGCGCACGGGCGUGGCGUCGGCGAUGGUCGACUACCCCAUCGGCGACCUGAUCUCCGAGCGCGUGCGGGCGAUGGGCGUCCGGCCUUUCUACAAGCACUUCGUCCACGACGGCGCGCGCGGCCCCAACAUGGCGACGGUCUACAGCGACCUCGGCUAUGGCGUGCGCGGCCCGGUGGUCUUCUACAACCGCAGCAACGAGGCCGCGGCGCUGCUCAAGCCGGGCGACUUCGACUGGGCGGCCAUCUUCGGCGCCGGCGUGCGGUGGUUCCACAGCGGCGGCAUCUUCUCUGCGCUUUCGGAGACGACAGCCGAGCUGAUCAUCGAGGCGAUGAAAGCCGCCAAGGCCCACGGCGCCGUCACCUCGUUUGACCUCAACUUCCGCGAAAAGCUCUGGCAGCUUUCGGGCGGCGUCGCGCGCGCCCAGGCCGUGCUCUCGCGCAUCGUCGAGCACGUCGAUGUGCUGGUCGGCAACGAAGAGGACCUCCAGAAAGGACUUGGGAUCCAGGGGCCCGACGUGACGGAGUCGUCGAAACUCGACUCGAGCGUGUUCACGGGGAUGAUCGAGAACGCCGUCGCGAAGUUUCCCUGAGGAUGCAUGCACAGAUGCGCUACCGGUAGUACUAGAGUAGCACUCUCCGUAGGUGAACCUGCGGAAGGAUCAUUAACACUAAUCCAACACAACUCAACCAAGCCUUCAGUUGCAGCAGUAGCGCUUGCCUUGUGCAGUGCCGCUGGUGCAGCCCACACAAACCUAAUCACGCAAAGGAGCCUAACUAAGCUCAUUUAAAAAACCAAAUUCUCAACGAUGGAUAUCUUGGUUCCCAUAACGAUGAAGAACGCAGCGAAGUGCGAUAAGCAAUGCGAAUUGCAGAACCGUGAGUCAUCAGAUUUUUGAACGCAACUGGCGCCGGCUGGCUCUCCAGCCGGCAUGCUUGUUUCAGUGUCUCUUUACCUCAUCACCCAGAUCAUAAUGCGAGAGAUGCCCUUCUCUUGCCAAGCUCGAAAGCACUCUGCGCUCUGCGAGCGUUCACGAUUUCGGUCGGCGAACGCACUCAAUGCAGCGGUCACAUUGCUCACAAUGUGAACUCAUUGAGAGCUGAGGCAGUGCAGCGUAAGCUGCCAGUGCUUAGUCACACAAACUUUACUUGCAUCUGAAAUCAAGCAGGAUCACCCGCUGAACUUAAGCAUAUCAAUAAGCGGAGGAGAAGAAAUUAACUAAGAUUGCCCUAGUAGCGGCGAGCGAAGCGGCAGGAGCCCAAACUGGAAAUCUUGCGCACCACGUGCGUACGAAUUGUAAUCUAAAGGAUGUCCGCUCAACGGGAGGUGGCGCAGAAGUGCCUUCGAACGGGCCGCCAGAGAGGGUGCCAGCCCCGUAUGUGGUGCCACCGCCUAACGAGUGGGUGUUCAACGAGUCGGGUUGUUUUGUAUUGCAGCCCUAAGUGGGAGAUAGACUUCUUCUAAGGCUAAAUAUAUAUGGGAAACCGAUAGCGAACAAGUACUGUGAAGGAAAGAUGAAAAGAACUUUGAAAAGAGAGUCAAAAGACUUGAAAUCGUUGAGAAGGAAGCGGUAGAAAUUUAUUCUUCGGCGCAGGUCGGUGUUAGUUGCCUAACCAUUGCCGGUUGUCAGCACUGAAUAAGGCUGCGGCUGGUACAUGGGGAAGCGGCUAGCUUGACCUGCGUCGUGAGGCAAAAUGGGGUCGCGCAACCGCAGAGGCUCUCCACGACCGGUCUGGUUCGCCAGGCAGCGUGGGGUGUGCCGGCGGGGGUGCGGCCCGAGGGUGCUUCGUGCGAUUUUGCCAAAAUGGUUUUUACCGACCCGUCUUGAAACACGGACCAAGGAGUCUAACAUAUAUGCGAGUGUGCUGGUGGAGAAACCAACACGCGUAAUGAAGGUGAGCGAUGCCAAGCCGCAAGGUGGCAGCAUCGACCGACCAUGAUCCUCUGGUGAAAGGUUUGAGUACGAGCAUAUCUGUUAGGACCCGAAAGAUGGUGAACUAUGCCUGAGUAGGGUGAAGCCAGGGGAAACUCUGGUGGAGGCUCGUAGCGGUACUGACGUGCAAAUCGUUCGUCAAACUUGGGUAUAGGGGCGAAAGACUAAUCGAACCAUCUAGUAGCUGGUUCCCUC